Culex quinquefasciatus (southern house mosquito) is the source of this 1376-nucleotide long non-coding RNA. RefSeq lists it as uncharacterized. The transcript is spliced from 2 exons. NCBI's taxonomy places the organism in Eukaryota, Metazoa, Arthropoda, Insecta, Diptera, Culicidae. The record is from RefSeq and is a predicted model, not a curated record.
CAUUUCGCCGCGUUUCGCCGAAGCGGUUUUCUUGUUGAUUUUUGGCAAUCAAACGUCAAAGUGUUAGGAAAAAAAUCGGAAAACUUGUUCGGUCAUGUUUUCAUGGUUUUCAUUCGCGCCACGUUUUUCGAAGAAAAAAAAAAAACCAUUUUACUGUGGAAAUAAAAGGUGAGUUACGCUGCAUUUCUGAUGAUUCGGACCAUUAACCCAAUAACCGACGACUCCUUCAGAUUUCUGGACACCGUUCCCGGGCUCGGCGGAACCGGCUUCUUGCAUGUGUCUUCCAGUUUCUCCAUCCUGGUUAUGUUGCCCAGUUACGAAGCGGAUUGCGAAACGAUAUCAACCGGCAGCUGCGCACGGCCGGGGAACCGGUCAAAUAUGAGGAGAUUCAGGUCGAAGGAAUCUACGCGGUGCCGUACGAAAACUGCUUCUACCGGGUUGUGGUGCUGGAAAAGAUCGCCUCGUCGAAGAGCUUGGUUGGUCAUUCCGUCAACGGAGUUGCGACCGCCGCUGCUGUUGAUGAAGACUGCCCAACUUUGCCUUCGGUUUUGACCGGCUUACGUGCGAUUAGCAGUCUUCCACCAUGAAGGCCACCUUCAAGGACGUCGAGGGAAAGCGCCAGCUUUCCGGAACUUUGUCUGGGACUUCAAGCAGGUCGACAUCAACUACAGGCCGCAGGAUAAAAGCAUCGUCCGGAUCGUCCAGAUUACAUAACAUCUUGAUGAACUCGCGAUGCCGUACCGGGCUUAAGUCUUGAAAGUCGUCUCCGCGAACGCCGUCGAAGUCUUCGAUCUGGACAACGGCUCCAUCAAAACGGCCCCCUCGGACAAGUUGCGUGGUUCCACAGGGUUUACCCGCACCGCCGUUUAAAGUCCCGGACUGAUCAUCGAGUAGCUGCAAGACUUGAGGUCCACCAAACGUCUCCUGCAGCAACUGUUUGAAGUCAAGUCCUGUAUGUUCAACGGCCGUCGCUGACCGACCUGAAAAUGAACCGCUCGCUGGGUGUCCUGCUGCUGGAGAACCACGACAAGAAGCUCAACGAGGCGGCCAAAGCGGAAAAGCUCAAGAGCGAGCACAGGAGGUAGAAGCUGCUUGGCAGGCCAAGGCAGAAGCUGAACGUAAACAGCAGGAACAGGAAGCGGAAAUCGAACGCAAAAAGUGCCAAUAGAAAGAGGCCACUUCAAUAUUUUGUCUGUUAACCUACAAAAAUAAUAACUAAAAUAAGGGGACUCAGGGUUGGGCCGCGUUUCAUUCAACGAUUAAUAUAACGGAAAAUAAAUAAAACUACUUUAAAGUAAGAAAAUCAAGAUAAAUCAACCUUUCUGGUUGAAUUCCAAUAAUUUGGAUUCAACCAAAACAAAAAAGAAAAACACCUA